Molecule: long non-coding RNA, 475 nt
Organism: Carassius gibelio (silver crucian carp)
Lineage: Eukaryota; Metazoa; Chordata; Actinopteri; Cypriniformes; Cyprinidae
Exons: 2
Source: RefSeq, a predicted model, not a curated record
UUGGUGUUGAUGGUGUUUUUCACAUGCAUGCUUUUUAAUGCUAGUUUAAUUCUCAAAUUGAUCUGAUACUUUCGUUUCACAAAAAGUAAACAAAUUGUUCACUUUCUUAGGGCCUGACAACCACCAGUUGAGUCCAUGAUUCAUUGAGUUCCUUAUAAGGAAAAAUAUUUGUUACCACCUAGUAAUUUAAAUGUAUUAUUUAUUGCUUUAAAAUGAACACAUAUAUUUAUCAUCAGGGGAAGAGACAGUCUGGGCAGCAGCAACAAGACAACUAUUACAAGUAGAGAUGGGUUUCAAGAACUGGUACUAAUUUGGUUCCUGACUUGUUCGACACAACCACAUAUCCUCCAAAUCAUCUCUGCGUGGAUGGCAGCAAGGAUCCAGGAUCAAGAGAUCAUUCUUCAUGGAGACUGUUCCACAGGAAGCAGUUUCUCCUGGGUGAAAAACUAAACCUGGUUGUUUCAGCAUCACUCAG